GGUCAAGUUGUGUAGGGCACACGGUGGAUGCCUUGGCAUCAGGAGCCGAUGAAGGACGUGGGAGGCUGCGAUAAGCCUCGGGGAGUCGCCAGCCAGACGUUGAUCCGGGGAUGUCCGAAUGGGGGAACCCGGCGGGUGUUGUGGCCCGUCAUCUCCGCUUGAAUUCAUAGGGCGGGGAAGGGAACGCGGGGAAGUGAAACAUCUCAGUACCCGCAGGAAGAGAAAACAAUAGUGAUUCCGUGAGUAGUGGUGAGCGAAAGCGGAUGAGGCUAAACCGUGCGCGUGUGAUAGCCGGCGGGUGUUGCGUGUGCGGGGUUGUGGGACCCUCUUGGGAGUGCCGCCGCGCUUCCGAGCAGUGAGAAAUCGGUGGGGUAGCCGAAGGUUCUGGGAAGGGCUGCCGUAGACCGUGAUAGCCGGGUAGGUGAAACUCUGCCGACUGCUGGAGG
This 446-nucleotide ribosomal RNA is filed under the name Thermostaphylospora chromogena. Its description in RNAcentral is "bacterial LSU rRNA". It matches the Rfam family "Bacterial large subunit ribosomal RNA", at positions 1 to 403 of the family's 2925-position model. Lineage: Bacteria; Bacillati; Actinomycetota; Actinomycetes; Streptosporangiales; Thermomonosporaceae. The record is from RNAcentral.